This is a long non-coding RNA of Malaya genurostris, 2913 nucleotides long. RefSeq lists it as uncharacterized. The transcript is spliced from 2 exons. NCBI's taxonomy places the organism in Eukaryota, Metazoa, Arthropoda, Insecta, Diptera, Culicidae. The record is from RefSeq and is a predicted model, not a curated record.
UUGUAUUGAAAUGUUAUUUCUGAUAUACAGCCCAUAUAUAGUUGCGUGGUGGAACGUGGCACAAAUGAGCAGAUAUGGAAAAUACGUUUCGGUAUAAACAGAUAGGCUUGAUACGAUGCUGGAAUUGACACUUGCAAUUGGAAUUUUAACGACUUAGUGACUUCUUUUUACAGCAAAUUUUUACCGUCUUAAGAAAAACGAUGUUUCACAGUCUUUCAAAUAGCAUCGUUCUCUAAUCAUUAAUGUUAUCCCACAUUAUCUUCAUAAUGAUGAGGCCUUCCAUUGAAUGUGACUAUCAUGAAAAAAAAAUUAUCGUUCCAUUUGAUUUUCAUAUCUAUGCAAAGCUUCUUACAAUCGAUAUAAUGCAUAUUAAUGACUAGUGGUGCAUUCAGAGUUCUGAAUACUAAUCAAUUUAAAACGAUAAAAUGUUAAAUAAAUCAAUUUACCACAGAUAAGCGUUCAGAUUGCUGAUUUUGAACUAGAAGAAUUUUUGGAUUCAUUAAGAUGCUAUUUUACUAUCAAUAUUGGUGGUCGGCGUAGUUUCUAGAUAAAUUUCAAGUUACUUUCAAAAGUUUCAUAGUACAAUAGAGAAAGGUUUGGUAAUAAUGCGAAAAGAAACUUAUAAACCAACAAUGGUGCGUUAAAAUCGCAAUACAAUGUAUGAGAAGUAAGGAAUUAUACGGAUUUUCCUUCAACGGUAUCACUUAUUUUACAUUAAAAUUUAUUAUGGAAGGAGGGGUUUUGUAUUUUCGGAAUAUCACCAUCAAAGCUGCGACCCACAGCACUGAUUUUCAAGAUAAAUAUAAAAGUAAAGGCAGCCAUAUUGCAGUCCCCCCGGGACCGAAUUCUCUCUCGACUGCCCUACUGAAUCUUUGCGAAUGCUUGAGGUGGCUUUCGGUCCUCAGGUUCUAACGGAAGCAACACUUGAAUUACAAACAUUAUUGGAUGAAGAUGACACGCACACUCAAAAACAAUUGGCUGAGGCAUUAAAUGUGUAAUAGCCAGCAAUUUCCGUGCCAUGGCUUAAAGCCAUGGAAAAAGUUGGAAAUAGGGUGGAAAAAUGAGUAACACAUCAAUUGAGCAAAGGCCGCAAGAAAACCGUCGAACAAUUUGUGAAAUGCUACUGAAAAGGUACAAAAGGAAGUCAUUUUUGCAUCGAAUUGUGAUUAGUAAUGGAAAGUGAAUUCAUUUCUCGAAUCCUAAGCUCAAAAACUUAUGUGUUAGUCCCGGCGAGGCAUGAAAAUCGUGCUAAGCGGUAAGAAGCGCUUGGUUGCUGUGUAUUUUGGUGGGAUCAGUGUGGAUUUAUCUAUUACUAGCUGACCCGUCGAACUUCGUCUCGCCCAAAAAUUAUUUGUUGCAGUUUAUGUUUGCGGACAUCAGAAUUGUCAAACGACUAAGUGGUUAUCAUCGGAUAAUCCUGCACCAUUCGCAUCUACUGCGUCAAUCUAAAAAACUUUUACUUAUACAUUAAGUAUCGCUAGCGCAAAAGAGUGAAAGAGAUACCAAAUCAAAGCAUUCAUCAGGUCGACAUUUUCUUGGUAGAGUAUUAAAAAGCAUCGGACAUUCGUUUUUGUUUUAUUUAUUGAGGUUUUAACCUUUGUUUUGACAUUACCUACUCCUAGAUUUUUACAUCGGUUGAGAAGCACUUCGAGAUUGUUACAAUUCUUUUCAUUUGUGUACUUCAUUAUUAUGAUGGCAAACUAAUUCGUACAUACGUUUAGUUUUCCGGAUAGUUUUUCGUGUGGACGUCAUGUCUGAACGAUUAAUUUAAGUGAGUCCGGCCAGACGUCCGGUUAUUUGACUAAAGCUCUUUAAUAAUUUUCUUCCAUGAAAAACUGAUAAAAUUGACAUGAAGACAAAACGCAAAACUUACCUGACGCUACACACACUCAAUUCAGACAAUCGUUCAGUUCUUUAUUCCGUCCAAGGUUCAUUUGAACUGUCCGGAAAACUGAUGGUUUAUGGGCCGCUUUAAAGUUUAAACGCAGUAAGCGACAUCGUUCUUUUAACCAAAUGUCAUCCAUGCCCGCAUAGCGUUUUGGCUACCUGAGCAGCCAUGGCCACCAGACGACUACCAAAAUUGAUUCAGUGACGGUUGUCAAAUCCAAUUUGACAAAACAAAGUCGCCUGUAUCUAAGUUAGCCGAGCGUUUUCAUCUUCUCACCUUCGCUGAAAAUGUCAAAGAUUUCAAUGUGGAAAAAUCCUGGUGGGUACGGUUGUAUCGACGACACGACCAGGCACUCCGAAGUAAGAUAGGAAUAAAAAGUGUUCGUGAUUGAUUUACCGCCAGUUACCACAAAUAUAGCGACCCCUUGAUAAUGAUAAAAAUAAUCUUCUUGCGCAACACUGUUUAAGUUGCUACGAGCUAGCUGCCACGGAGCCCCAUAAUAAAUAAACAAACCUUUAGAGAAAAUGUAGAUAAAGUUUUAUUAAUUUAAAUUUUGUGCCAUCUUGAAAUUAUUGUGAAGAAAUCGAGAUUGUGAAAGCUGUACGAGGCCCUGCGCACUAUCGGCCGUGAACUGGUCCCCCUAGGGGAAUAUAACUGCCCGGCCCUCGUUUAACAUUUACUUCUAAAAUACAAACAGAUGCCCAUGUUUGCAACGCUGAAAUGGAAUUAUCAAAUAUGACGGAAAUCAUCCUGCACCAGAGCCAGGUUCAACAGUUUAUCAUGUAUUGGAACAAAUUAAAAAAAUGUAAGAUUAGAUUAGAUUGAUAGUAAUCAAGCUAAUGUUACAACGUUCUUUGUGUAUUUACGGCGACCGGAACUGGAAGCACAAUGUCAAAUCUGACACAAGGUGCAUUGCUGCCACAGACAGGAAUAUCCACUCGACUUUCCGAAACACAUGAGCGUUGCUUGAUAUACUGACAAUAAACCCGGAAUUUCGUGCCAGUAUGCGCGAAACGAAGAUAAAA